ACGCUGGCGGCACGCCUAACACAUGCAAGUCGAACGAAGUAGCAAUACUUAGUGGCAGACGGGUGAGUAACAUGUAGGUAUCUGCCCUUUGGCCUGGAAUAACACGAGGAAACUUGUGCUAAUACCGGAUAAGUCUUUACGGAGAAAGCUUUAUGCACCAUUGGAUGAGCCUGCACUUGAUUAGUUUGUUGGUGGGGUAAUGGCCUACCAAGACUGUGAUCAAUAGCUGAUUUGAGAGGAUGAUCAGCCACAUUGGGACUGAGACACGGCCCAAACUCCUACGGGAGGCAGCAGUGGGGAAUCUUGCACAAUGGAGGAAACUCUGAUGCAGCGAUGCCGCGUGAGUGAAGAAGGCCUUUGGGUUGUAAAGCUCUUUCGUCGGGGAAGAAAAUGACUGUACCCGAAUAAGAAGGUCCGGCUAACUUCGUGCCAGCAGCCGCGGUAAUACGAAGGGACCUAGCGUAGUUCGGAAUUACUGGGCUUAAAGAGUUCGUAGGUGGUUGAAAAAGUUGGUGGUGAAAUCCCAGAGCUUAACUCUGGAACUGCCAUCAAAACUUUUCAGCUAGAGUGUGAUAGAGGAAAGCAGAAUUUCUAGUGUAGAGGUGAAAUUCGUAGAUAUUAGAAAGAAUACCAAUUGCGAAGGCAGCUUUCUGGAUCACAACUGACGCUGAGGAACGAAAGCAUGGGUAGCGAAGAGGAUUAGAUACCCUCGUAGUCCAUGCCGUAAACGAUGUGUGUUAGACGUUGGAAAUUUAUUUUCAGUGUCGCAGCGAAAGCGAUAAACACACCGCCUGGGGAGUACGACCGCAA
Molecule: ribosomal RNA, 810 nt
Filed under: uncultured Pelagibacteraceae bacterium
Lineage: Bacteria; Pseudomonadati; Pseudomonadota; Alphaproteobacteria; Candidatus Pelagibacterales; Candidatus Pelagibacteraceae
Description: bacterial SSU rRNA
Rfam family: Bacterial small subunit ribosomal RNA
Source: RNAcentral